RNAcentral lists this ribosomal RNA (253 nucleotides) under uncultured bacterium. RNAcentral describes it as "partial 16S ribosomal RNA". It matches the Rfam family "Bacterial small subunit ribosomal RNA", at positions 524 to 776 of the family's 1533-position model. The record is from RNAcentral.
UACGGAGGGUGCGAGCGUUGUCCGGAAUCAUUGGGCGUAAAGGGCGCGUAGGUGGCGCGGCAAGCGUGCGGUGAAAGCUCGGGGCUCAACCCCGAGUCGGCCGUGCGAACUGCUGGGCUUGAGCACUGUAGAGGCAGGCGGAAUUCCGGGUGUAGCGGUGGAAUGCGUAGAGAUCCGGAAGAACACCAGUGGCGAAGGCGGCUUACUGGCCCGGUACUGACGCUGAGGUGCGAAAGCGUGGGGAGCAAACAGG